Long non-coding RNA from Rhipicephalus sanguineus (brown dog tick), 391 nucleotides. RefSeq lists it as uncharacterized. Lineage: Eukaryota; Metazoa; Arthropoda; Arachnida; Ixodida; Ixodidae. The record is from RefSeq and is a predicted model, not a curated record. The transcript has 3 exons.
CCAUCUACACUGCUUAACGCGUUGCAGACAGCAAGAGCUGCUGCUGUGGUUUCAGGCAUGUCGAGGUCGGAGAGCGAUGUCCAUUGAGUGUAGCACCGAGUGAAGAUACUGCAGACGACGAUAGACGAUGCCGCGGCGUCCAACUAUCGAAUGUGGUAGGCGUCAGCCUUCAGGAACAACGGUGAAAAAUAGCUGGAAAAAAAUUACAAGGUAAUAACGAUAAGGACGAAGACGGACAAGGACACUCACAUCGAGCUCACGAUUUCAUUCGAAAAGGCCGUUGCGUUGUUGUUCUUGGAGGAGUCCAUGCCUGCAGCAGUGAUGGCGAAAAGUCCGGCUCCGAGAGCUGCCGCGGCGUCGCUACACUUCGGCACGUGCGCUCGCUACCGGU